Long non-coding RNA from Helianthus annuus (common sunflower), 258 nucleotides. RefSeq lists it as uncharacterized. The record is from RefSeq and is a predicted model, not a curated record. The transcript is spliced from 2 exons. NCBI's taxonomy places the organism in Eukaryota, Viridiplantae, Streptophyta, Magnoliopsida, Asterales, Asteraceae.
GUCCUCAUGAGAAGGAGAAGACACGUCCGCAAUUUUCAGAGGAUUAUUUUGACGAAUUGUUUGAAGACCCAAGAUUUAUGGAACGACUCUACCAAGCUAUGGAUAAGAAGGAAUCAAGAAAAGACAAUGAAAAUGACACGGACGAGGAGGGAGAAUUCUGUAUUUUGUAUUGAAUUUAGGGGUUUCAAAACUUUAACUUAAUCAAACAAAAUGCUUUUGUUGUAGUUUUAUGUUUAAAACUUGGUGUUGUUUGAAGAA